AGAGCGAACGCUGGCGGCAGGCCUAAACAUGCAAGUCGAACGGACCCUUCGGGGUUAGUGGCGGACGGGUGAGUAACACGUGGGAACGUGCCUUUUGGUUCAGAACAACUCAGGGAAACUUGAGCUAAUACUGAAUAAGCCCUACGGGGGAAAGAUUUAUCGCCAUUAGAGCGGCCCGCGUUGGAUUAGCUAGUUGGUGAGGUAAAGGCUCACCAAGGCUACGAUCCAUAGCUGGCCUGAGAGGAUGAUCAGCCACACUGGGACUGAGACACGGCCCAGACUCCUACGGGAGGCAGCAGUUAGGAAUCUUGCGCAAUGGGCGAAAGCCUGACGCAGCCAUGCCGCGUGAAUGAUGAAGGUCUUAGGAUUGUAAAAUUCUUUCAGCGGGGACGAUAAUGACGGUACCGCAGAAGAAGCCCCGGCUAACUCGUGCCAGCAGCCGC
RNAcentral lists this ribosomal RNA (443 nucleotides) under uncultured bacterium. Its description in RNAcentral is "SSU rRNA". It matches the Rfam family "Bacterial small subunit ribosomal RNA", at positions 26 to 518 of the family's 1533-position model. The record is from RNAcentral.